Molecule: non-coding RNA, 76 nt
Organism: Caenorhabditis brenneri
Lineage: Eukaryota; Metazoa; Nematoda; Chromadorea; Rhabditida; Rhabditidae
Source: the annotation of a GenBank genome assembly
GGUCGUGUGGUUAACCUGGUUACACUUUUGCCUUGUAACCAAGAGGUCCCGGGUUCGAUUCCACCUGGGUCGAUUU